This is a long non-coding RNA of Spinacia oleracea (spinach), 5021 nucleotides long. RefSeq lists it as uncharacterized. Lineage: Eukaryota; Viridiplantae; Streptophyta; Magnoliopsida; Caryophyllales; Amaranthaceae. The record is from RefSeq and is a predicted model, not a curated record. The transcript has 4 exons.
UUCAGAGCCCAGCGAGGGGCGUGAGAAAUUCUGGCGCCCAGCCAGGGGCGUUGAAAAUGCGUCCCUGACUGGUUCUCGUUUUCUGUCUUCUGUUUAUGCGACUUCGAUUUGCGUGCUUGCCUAAUAACGUCCUUUACGCGUAGCAGCGUUUGUGUGAUUCGUUACAGGCCAUCCCGAGCGUCGCUUAUUUUUGUGGCGAUCAUUCGGGUUUGCGGAACACGUAUUUCGAUAUAACUCUUUGGCAAAUUAGUCUAUGAACGUUUGGGCAAUUUUUAAGGUCGUUGGUUUUUUAGGAUAGUUUGACACACACAAUCACAUAUUUCGCUACACAUAACUAACAUUCAUCAUGAGGCGAUAAUAACAUGUCAUGUAGUUUAUGAUAGGCUUCUUUGGGUAGUUAUUUGCGCCUGGCUUGGUACCGCUUCUAUCGUAGAUCCAACACAUGCCCCGGUCGAGGUAGUGUCUUCAACAGACGAAUUUCGCUCAAGAGGCCAACCCGCAAGUGCAAGCCAAGGGGGCAUGCAGGCGAGAGGGACCUAAUGAGCGAGCGAUUGGGUUCGGGAUAGGUGUACUACCUGCACAAGUACCGAGUGGGCAACAUGCACGGCGUAUGCACCCCCCUAUUGGCGGAAAAAGGUAUCUUUAGUCCCAACUCCCGAGGGAUCCGAGAUUCGUUAUGCGGUUCUGCCCGUUCACAUUAAUAUGCUGAUUUUCAGGUCGUCCCAACUUGAUGGGGAAAUAAACGCGGGGUAGGAUCGUUUCACCCUUCGGCUAUUUUGAUUACCUACAGGCACGAGUAUUUCCUUCACUAUCCCCAAUGGAGUCGCCACUGUGAGGGGGUCGAAAAAGCACAAGGCUAAUGCGUGACCUCGUCCCUUGUGGGUGUGACGAUUCUUUUAUUCAAUCAAGUGUAAUUGGAUUUCCUGUGAGUAUACACCCAAUUGACUAGUAAUAUAGGAGUCGCCAUUCAGUUUUUAACGACAAUGAGAAAAACUGACAAAACCUGGUUAUCGUGACAUAAAGGGAGAGCAAUUAUGUUUGACCACGACGGCCGUAGGUUCCCUUGUGAUCCCUGGUGUGGGGAUCUCUCAACAUACACCCGCAAGGUAGAGAUUGAGGGUUCGGGGGACUGUAACUACCGAGAGGAGUACUUCGCUCGUCGAUAACUCCAGAGGUAGGAUAUCCUUACUAGCCCAGCAUAAAUAAUUGAAGGGACAUGCGUUAACUAUUAAACUAAUCUGAGUUGAUUUUAAUAAUAUGCAACAUAUAAUACUAGAUCGAUCGCGAUUAUCUGAUUUAAACAGUAUUAAGGGACCUAGCAUGAUAAUCCAAUUUCCCAAAAAUAUUAUAUUUGUUAGGCGUGAUAGAACAAUCAGAUUUAGUUAGUUUAAUAGUUCAUAAAAAGGGCGAGGAAAGCAAUUAAAUCAUUGAAAAGGGACACAUUACGACGCACCCUUGAGAGGUGCGUCACGGUUCUCAGAAAAACUAACCACUUUGACUUUGCUAUUUCUCCUUUUUAUUUAACGAAUCUCAAAUUAUGGGACAGGAUACGUUCUGUUCGAUUUAUGGAUCGAUUGCGACAGAACGCGUGAACAAUUUCGCAGCGUGAGGCUUAGGCUAAGGGUUGGAGUCAAUACUCGGAAUAUGAAUUGUGUGUUGUGUUCUUUUCACGUCGAAUUUGGGGCUGUAUUUAUAGGGAAGAGUUCGUGGAAAGAUAGAAUUGCAGAGUUCUAAUCCACAAAGAAUUAGGAAAAAACACGUACCCAGGUAUUUUCAGCGCCCAGGCCUGGGCGCCGAAGAUUUCGGCGCCCAGAGCCAGGCGUUGAAAAUAGGGUCUGGGCUGUUUUCUUAGUCAGAUUCGGAUUCCUUAAAUCCGUAGUGUUUGAGACUUAAUCGAGUCUUUUAGUGCGUAUCAAUUUCAUGACGGAAUGCGUCUGGGCCCGUUACGAACUCUAGGCUCGUUAGGAUUUUAAUUAAUACGUAACUCUUAUUUCCGAAUCAUAUUAGGAAUAGGAUUCUCGCAGUUUUCUAUCUCAUUUAGGAUUUACGUUGGAGUGCAACACCUAAUUCUGACAGGUUUCUAUCUUUUAUGAAUUGCCACUUUUAAAAGCUACCCUUUACGGCAGUUACUAUUUUUAGCAGGUUUCUAUAAAUAGCAGGUUUCGGGUGAAAUGAAUAGGGGAAUGGAGAUUCCUUAUUUUAUAGGAGAUGCGUUGUCAAGUGGAGAUUUAUGCUUUCAUCAUCGAACCUUUCCCUUUCGGGAAUGGGGACAAAAGUAGGUGUCUACAGUUGGGGUCGGCCCCUCCAAGCUUGUAGGCGUCCCCCUUGUUCCUUCUUCCGAGCGAUGUCCCCUCCCCGCGGAGUAGUCCAUUAAUCGCUCUGCAGCAGUCAUAGCGGCUGAAAGAGUGUCAACUUUCGCCCUCCAUACUUCACGCUCCGCCCAUUCUUGUAGCCCGUGAACAAAGUUAAACAACCGAUCCUUCUCAUUCAUGUCUCGGAUGUCCAACAUGCAGGCCGAGUAUUCCUUCACAUAGUCGCGUAUGGAGCCCUUGUGGCGGAUCUCCUGUAGCUUAAUCCUUGCAACAAACUCGGUGUUCUCGGGAUAGAAUUGAUCUUUGAGUUCCUUCUUGAACUCUUCCCAGGUGUCUAUCUUUAUUUUCCCCUCUUCGGUAUCGGCGUGCUUGGUGCGCCACCACAGCUUCGCAUCAUCCGACAAAUGUAUGGUCGCGGUAUCCACCUUUAGAUUGUCACUCAGUUGACAAAUUCUGAAAUGCUGCUCCAUGUCGAAGAGAAAGUUAUCAACUUCCUUCGAGUCUCUAGCCCCACUGUAGUCUUGAGGUUUCGGAGGUUUGAUCUUCGUCGCACCACCCCACUCAAGUUAGUCCUUGCAGCGCACAUCAGUGUCGCGCAUUUGUCUUGGGCAUCUUCAGCUUGCUUCUGGACAAAGUUGAGUUGUUCCUGAAGAGCUUCUUUCUCUUGCAUGAGCUCAUCGACCGUACCCUUGAGUCUUUCUAUCUCUUUGGCUUGGGCAAUCACAAUUUCCUCGAGUCGGGUCCAGCUCUCUGACUUGCCUUCUAGCCAUGCUAGUCUUUCUUCGACCGUUUCCAUCUCUUUCUUCCUUAGGUCUUUCGGGGCCUAGGUCAAGCCUUGGCUCUGAUACCAACUGUCACGGUCCGAAUAUUUUGACACCGGAUCCGUGCGGCGCCCUCUUGCCUAUUGGCGGCAAGGAGGCAAGCCUUGUGCGGAAUGAGUGUCUUGUAGCUCGUAGGGGCACGAGUAAGCGUCUGAUUCUGAACGGGCACUCUUGCCUAUUGGCGACAAGAGCGAGGGUCGAGGGUCGAACGAAGCGCUUGUGUGCGCACAGCAGGCACAAGCGGGACCGAUGACGAGAGUGUAUCUGUUUUGCGAGGGACUUUGAUGGGUCUUGGAAAGCUUAAAAGCAUGCGACAACACAAUAUCUAUAAAGGCUAGCAACAACACAUGAAUUAAGAAAAGGCAACUUCUGAUGAGAGGUAUUAGUUCAUACCCCACAUAGAGGUUUAUUUUGAAUUAGCUAAAACUUGCCAGUGAACAAUGGAAUUACAGUAACAUAAUAAUUCUCCCUAAAGCCUAGAAAACUAUUAGAAAGAUCCUAGAAAGCAAUAGAAAGGGGAAAUACAAGUAAAGGAAGGUUGGAUUCUAACACUAUGCGAACCUGAUUAGCCAUAUGGGUGUGGUUGUACGGGUCUUUGACGGUCCUGAUAGGCCCAUGCAGCCCAUUUCUCGGUGUGACGUGCCGUGAAUUCUUGAGUUGUGGGCUUUUGAGCGCUUGCCCUUCUUCGCUCCCCGGUUCGGUAGAGUGGCCGGAGGUUACCCUGAUGCUUUUUGGUGGGGUACUGCUGGGAAAGUGAAUAAACGCCCAGCCAUAAAGAACUUCAGGGACAUGAUCGCAGCUAGACUCCAUGACUUGGUGAGCUGGUCCUGCUGGGCUGGACUAGAGGAGACCGACGAGUUGAGGGAGGCCCGGCUCUAGCUAGUCUCGUUGUCGGAUCUUGUUCCAGGGUCCUAGGGGUCCAUCCUUGUUCUUGGGGGAGUGGUACUCCGGCAGACUACGGAGCUCAUCCGGGUGCCCCGGCCGCCUCCUUCAAGCAUGUUGCGCCCUACGGGCAUCCUUUUUAGCCGCCGGGCAGUGUUGCGGCAGGGUAUGCCUGCAGGGGACUUUGUGCUGCUCACCAUAGCUAUGGUGAGUUUGUGCGGCUUCGGAUUUUUCUUCCGCCUGUCGUCGAGGUACGUGUAACCUUGUGAUUUUAUUGAUAUGCACGUAAGUUCUUUUCGGUUGUGUUUCGACUUAUUUGUUUGUGUUGCAACCUGAGCCCACUGAUCUUGGCGGUUGGGUGCCACCAGCUUGCUCGAUCCGCUAUACUACGGCGGGCGGAUCCAGGAUCAUAGAGGAGGUGCAUGUGAUUCCUGACGAGGAUGGACCCCAUCCAUUGGUUCCUGUAGAUGUCAGCGUGAUUGGUGUUCCACAGGCCCGUGUCCCGGAGCAGAUGCGGACUCCUCGGAGGGAUCCUCAUUCGAUUGAGGGCGAUCGUGAUGCCUCCGGAUCACAUGCUAGGCACGCUUUUCGUACGUUGGUUUGGGUCAGAGGUCCAUGCAGCCGCCGAUUGGGCCUAGGAUGAGCUAUGGUGGGUCGUUCGGAGUGCCUCAGUCUCAUAUGGGUUGGUAGGCCCCUUCGUUCCAGUCGUUUCAGACUGGUUGGCAGUCUCAGCCAUUUCAGCAGCUUUCCCGUCCCGGGUGAGUGUCCGCGACGCAGACGCAGAGCUGGGACUCUUCUCAGUUCGAGGCUUUGUUCGGUGGUCCGCAGGUUUCGUAGGGUGCUUGCACGAGUGGCAGUGCUCAUGGUGAUGAGGAUGAGCCUCAGUAGGCCGUGUACAUGUAUUUCUGAUUUGGACAUGUAUCAUUUUUCGUAUACGCUACAGACUUGUAUAUAUUGUUGCAUUUAACGCUUUUAGUUUAUUUUUUUCGUCUGUGCAUGGAUCGGU